GGCUGCACGCGCGCUACACUGACAGAGGCAACGAGUAUACAACCUUGACCGGAAGGUCUGGGCAAUCUUUUUAAACUCUGUCGUGCUGGGGAUAGAGCAUUGCAAUUAUUGCUC
Molecule: ribosomal RNA, 114 nt
Filed under: uncultured eukaryote
Lineage: Eukaryota
Description: partial 18S ribosomal RNA
Rfam family: Eukaryotic small subunit ribosomal RNA
Source: RNAcentral